Cygnus atratus (black swan) is the source of this 1639-nucleotide long non-coding RNA. RefSeq lists it as uncharacterized. Lineage: Eukaryota; Metazoa; Chordata; Aves; Anseriformes; Anatidae. The record is from RefSeq and is a predicted model, not a curated record. The transcript has 2 exons.
GGCGCCGGCAGCGAGGCAAAGGGAAAGCGAAAGGCGAAGGGAAAGCGAAAGCGCAGCGCGGGGCACUGCGGAGCGGGACCCACGGGCACCACCCGCAGCGCCCCGAGCAUCCCCGCCGGGGGGCCGCAGUGCUCAACACAGGGUUUAUACCCAGAAGAUAAAGGGGAUGGGUCUGGCCGGGAUGAAGAGGCUGACUGCAGGGUCCAGCAGCUGCUCCGCAUCCACAGUGACAAAAAGACCCUGCUGGGACAGGGGACACAGGGAUGGCGGGUGGCCACAGCAAGUCCUCUGGAUUGCCCCAUGCUUGGCCCAGGAGAGGUUCCCCUCCGUGAGGUGCUUUCUGUUUGGGACAGGUGAAGGCUGAGAUCUUCCUUUCGGCAUUUCCCGUGCGUCCUGCAGCCAAACCGCUGCCCUCUGCAUAAAAGUGCUGGAAGCCCACCCGAGGCAUGUCUGGAGGUCUCCUCCUGAGACAUGGAGUCCUCGUGGUCAAAGCAAGCACGUUGGUGCCCAGCUGUGCUGUCAUACCAACAAAAGCCCUUUCCCACCUUACAUCUCCUCACCGUCAGAGGUUUAGCUCUGGCUCACCUGCCUGUUAUUACCUGCUUUUUCUUCCCUGAAGUUCCAACUCUGACCCACCAAGACUGUGACCAGAGCACCUCUGCAUUUCAGUGAUGAGCACUGGCGUCCCCACAGUGCUCAGCAGGGAGCCGAUGGGGACAGGACCAGGACACUCCACCAGGAACAGAACACAGCGCUGCCUUGCCUACCCUGAGGCUUUAGGAUUUAUGUCCACAGAUGGCUUUGCUGGUGGUGGAGGUGAUGAUAAAUAUUGGGAACACAAGCAUAAUGGGUGGAGAACAUCAAGCAUCAGCACUUUAGUACCGCCAUCAAACUGCCAGGAUUUCCUCUCUGUGCACCAGGAGUGAAGUCCUGGCUGGCCGUGAGACCCCCCAAGCUGUACGAGCCCAGAAAACAGGUCCCGUUGGGGCAGAGGGGCCUCAGGCCUGCAGCCAGGGGGGUGGCGAUGCAUUCAAACCCCAUGCUACUUCUCACCCCUCCUCCUGCAUCUCCAGCGGCGCACCCAGGGGAGCAGAGGACCAUUGGAGCAGGUGCCUGAGGCUCGCACCACCACCAAGGGCUGCCAGACCCAGGCAGGCGUCUCAACACCUUUGGGUGCUGCAGGGACCCUGGAGGGGGCGGUUCGAGGACGUGCUGUGUUAUCUGGCUUGAGAAAACGGCAAUAGCUGGCUGUGAGGGUGUCAGCUGUCACCCUUUCUCCUUGACAUCUGGGAAAUUGCUUUUGAACUGUUUAAGAUCCUAAAUUGCUAGUACAAUGAAUGUGCAUGUUGUAUUUUAAUAAUCGGCUGUGCUGGAUUUGUUGGACUUUUUGAGGGAGGAGAGAGAUCUGCACCAUGGCCAGCCUUACCUCCAUCAAGGCAGUGGGUCCUCGGUUAACUGCCUUACUCCAUAUAAGGUUAAAAUCAGAUUUGUCAUCUUAAAAUACAUUGCUAUCCAAUAGUCCGGUAAUAUUUGGAAAAGAUUUGGUAAGUAACGUCUGCUGCACUGAAAAUUAAAUUAAAGAUGCAAAAUGGGAAUUUAAAGAAAACAGGCUUUGCUACAAAUAAAGUCUUUGAAGAUA